RNAcentral lists this ribosomal RNA (301 nucleotides) under uncultured bacterium. RNAcentral describes it as "partial 16S ribosomal RNA". It matches the Rfam family "Bacterial small subunit ribosomal RNA", at positions 509 to 807 of the family's 1533-position model. The record is from RNAcentral.
CAGCAGCCGCGGUAAUACGUAGGGUGCAAGCGUUAAUCGGAAUUACUGGGCGUAAAGCGUGCGCAGGCGGUUUGUUAAGACAGAUGUGAAAUCCCCGGGCUCAACCUGGGAGCUGCAUUUGUGACUGGCAAGCUAGAGUCUGGCAGAGGGGGGUGGAAUUCCGCGUGUAGCAGUGAAAUGCGUAGAUAUGCGGAGGGACACCGAUGGCGAAGGCGGCCCCCUGGGCCAACACUGACGCUCAUGCACGAAAGCGUGGGGAGCAAACAGGAUUAGAUACCCCAGUAGUCCCUGUCUCUUAUAC